This 192-nucleotide non-coding RNA is filed under the name Lysinibacillus sphaericus. RNAcentral describes it as "6S RNA". It matches the Rfam family "6S / SsrS RNA". From Rfam's summary of the family: E. coli 6S RNA was the first non coding RNA to be sequenced, but its function was unknown until recently. RNAcentral also lists the same sequence under 1 other name. The record is from RNAcentral. Lineage: Bacteria; Bacillati; Bacillota; Bacilli; Caryophanales; Bacillaceae.
CGAAUCCUGAUGUGUUUGUCUAACUGCUAACUAUAUUAAACAGUUUUGACCAACACUAUAUCGUCGGGAGCCUUCCAUUUUGUAGUUGCAAACAUGCCCCAUACGGAGAGGGAAGUUUAACGCUAUGAAGCGGGCACCCACCUGCAAAUUGCGGGUUCAAAACGAAUGUUUCAUCGGCAUUACGGCACUAUC